ACUUGAAUUGAAGAGUUUGAUCAUGGCUCAGAUUGAACGCUGGCGGCAGGCUUAACACAUGCAAGUCGAACGGUAGCAGGAGAAAGCUUGCUUUCUUGCUGACGAGUGGCGGACGGGUGAGUAAUGCUUGGGAAUCUGGCUUAUGGAGGGGGAUAACGACGGGAAACUGUCGCUAAUACCGCGUAUUAUCGGAAGAUGAAAGUGCGGGACUGAGAGGCCGCAUGCCAUAGGAUGAGCCCAAGUGGGAUUAGGUAGUUGGUGGGGUAAAUGCCUACCAAGCCUGCGAUCUCUAGCUGGUCUGAGAGGAUGACCAGCCACACUGGAACUGAGACACGGUCCAGACUCCUACGGGAGGCAGCAGUGGGGAAUAUUGCGCAAUGGGGGGAACCCUGACGCAGCCAUGCCGCGUGAAUGAAGAAGGCCUUCGGGUUGUAAAGUUCUUUCGGUAUUGAGGAAGGUUGAUGUGUUAAUAGCACAUCAAAUUGACGUUAAAUACAGAAGAAGCACCGGCUAACUCCGUGCCAGCAGCCGCGGUAAUACGGAGGGUGCGAGCGUUAAUCGGAAUAACUGGGCG
Molecule: ribosomal RNA, 574 nt
Filed under: Haemophilus influenzae
Lineage: Bacteria; Pseudomonadati; Pseudomonadota; Gammaproteobacteria; Pasteurellales; Pasteurellaceae
Description: bacterial SSU rRNA
Rfam family: Bacterial small subunit ribosomal RNA
Source: RNAcentral